UGGGGAAUAUUGGACAAUGGGCGCAAGCCUGAUCCAGCCAUGCCGCGUGUGUGAUGAAGGCCUUAGGGUUGUAAAGCACUUUUGUCCGGGAAGAUAAUGACUGUACCGGAAGAAUAAGCCCCGGCUAACUUCGUG
Molecule: ribosomal RNA, 135 nt
Filed under: uncultured bacterium
Lineage: Bacteria
Description: partial 16S ribosomal RNA
Rfam family: Bacterial small subunit ribosomal RNA
Source: RNAcentral